RNAcentral lists this ribosomal RNA (507 nucleotides) under uncultured bacterium. RNAcentral's name for it is "bacterial SSU rRNA". It matches the Rfam family "Bacterial small subunit ribosomal RNA", at positions 34 to 523 of the family's 1533-position model. The record is from RNAcentral.
CGCUGGCGGUGUGCUUAACACAUGCAAGUCAACGAGAAUUUUAUCUUCGGAUAAAUACUAAAGUGGCGAACGGGUGAGUAACGCGUAAAUAACUUGCCUUGGAGAUUGGGACAACAUUGGGAAACCAGUGCUAAUACCAAAUAAUGCAACAAGCCCUUCGGGGCAUAUUGUUAAAGUAGGCUUCGGCUUACACUUCAAGAUAGAUUUGCGUCCGAUUAGUUAGUUGGUAGAGUAAUAGCCUACCAAGACUGAGAUCGGUAGCUGGUCUGAGAGGAUGAUCAGCCACACUGGAAUUGAGAUACGGUCCAGACUCCUACGGGAGGCAGCAGUGAGGAAUUUUGCACAAUGGGCGAAAGCCUGAUGCAGCAACACCGCGUGAUUGAUGAAGUUUUUAGGAAUGUAAAAAUCUGUCGUAAGUGAAGAAAUGUUUCGGAUGUUAAUACCAUCUGUCAUUGACGGUAACUUACAAGAAAGGACCGGCUAACUUCGUGCCAGCAGCCGCGGUAA